GAUGAACGCUAGCUACAGGCUUAACACAUGCAAGUCGAGGGGCAGCAUUUCAGUUUGCUUGCAAACUGGAGAUGGCGACCGGCGCACGGGUGAGUAACACGUAUCCAACCUGCCGAUAACUCGGGGAUAGCCUUUCGAAAGAAAGAUUAAUACCCGAUGGUAUAAUCAGACCGCAUGGUCUUGUUAUUAAAGAAUUUCGGUUAUCGAUGGGGAUGCGUUCCAUUAGGCAGUUGGUGAGGUAACGGCUCACCAAACCUUCGAUGGAUAGGGGUUCUGAGAGGAAGGUCCCCCACAUUGGAACUGAGACACGGUCCAAACUCCUACGGGAGGCAGCAGUGAGGAAUAUUGGUCAAUGGGCGCAGGCCUGAACCAGCCAAGUAGCGUGAAGGAUGACUGCCCUAUGGGUUGUAAACUUCUUUUAUAUGGGAAUAAAGUUUUCCACGUGUGGAAUUUUGUAUGUACCAUAUGAAUAAGGAUCGGCUAACUCCGUGCCAGCAGCCGCGGUAAUACGGAGGAUCCGAGCGUUAUCCGGAUUUAUUGGGUUUAAAGGGAGCGUAGGUGGACAGUUAAGUCAGUUGUGAAAGUUUGCGGCUCAACCGUAAAAUUGCAGUUGAUACUGGCUGUCUUGAGUACAGUAGAGGUGGGCGGAAUUCGUGGUGUAGCGGUGAAAUGCUUAGAUAUCACGAAGAACUCCGAUUGCGAAGGCAGCUCACUGGACUGCAACUGACACUGAUGCUCGAAAGUGUGGGUAUCAAACAGGAUUAGAUACCCUGGUAGUCCACACAGUAAACGAUGAAUACUCGCUGUUUGCGAUAUACAGUAAGCGGCCAAGCGAAAGCAUUAAGUAUUCCACCUGGGGAGUACGCCGGCAACGGUGAAACUCAAAGGAAUUGACGGGGGCCCGCACAAGCGGAGGAACAUGUGGUUUAAUUCGAUGAUACGCGAGGAACCUUACCCGGGCUUAAAUUGCAUUUGAAUAUAUUGGAAACAGUAUAGCCGUAAGGCAAAUGUGAAGGUGCUGCAUGGUUGUCGUCAGCUCGUGCCGUGAGGUGUCGGCUUAAGUGCCAUAACGAGUGCAACCCUUAUCUUUAGUUACUAACAGGUCAUGCUGAGGACUCUAGAGAGACUGCCGUCGUAAGAUGUGAGGAAGGUGGGGAUGACGUCAAAUCAGCACGGCCCUUACGUCCGGGGCUACACACGUGUUACAAUGGGGGGUACAGAAGGCAGCUACCUGGUGACAGGAUGCUAAUCCCAAAAGCCUCUCUCAGUUCGGAUCGAAGUCUGCAACCCGACUUCGUGAAGCUGGAUUCGCUAGUAAUCGCGCAUCAGCCAUGGCGCGGUGAAUACGUUCCCGGGCCU
RNAcentral lists this ribosomal RNA (1359 nucleotides) under uncultured bacterium. Its description in RNAcentral is "bacterial SSU rRNA". It matches the Rfam family "Bacterial small subunit ribosomal RNA", at positions 28 to 1381 of the family's 1533-position model. The record is from RNAcentral.